Molecule: ribosomal RNA, 225 nt
Filed under: uncultured bacterium
Lineage: Bacteria
Description: partial 16S ribosomal RNA
Rfam family: Bacterial small subunit ribosomal RNA
Source: RNAcentral
UACGUAGGUGGCAAGCGUUGUCCGGAUUUACUGGGCGUAAAGAGCGCGCAGGCGGUCGGAUUAGUCGCGUGUGAAAGCCCCCGGCUCAACUGGGGAGGGUCACGCGAUACUGUUCGACUCGAAGGAAGGAGAGGGAAGUGGAAUUCCCGGUGUAGUGGUGAAAUGCGUAGAUAUCGGGAGGAACACCAGUGGCGAAGGCGACUUCCUGGCCUGUUCUUGACGCUG